This 53-nucleotide non-coding RNA is filed under the name Spirochaetes bacterium GWB1_59_5. Lineage: Bacteria; Pseudomonadati; Spirochaetota. The record is from RNAcentral.
CGCGGCGGGAGUCGCCCGGGGGUGGUGCCCCGGGCCUGACGAUGCAGCCACUU